AUUCUCAGCUCACGUACUACUGCCAAAGCUCCUGCCCUGUGCUGUGCCAGAUGCCGGCUGGCGUGAGCACCUGGGCUCCUGAGGGACCCCCUUGUCCUGAGAGCCAGAGGUACUCGCUUCCCUUUGCAUGAGGCCUGUAGGAGAUAGACCCUGCAAUUUAAAAAAUCUGUAUCAAACGUGGCAGACUCAAAGGGGGGCAUUUUAAAAAAGGCAGGUUUGUUUUCUUUUUUAACUUUACGAUCUACAGCCUAGCAAAGAGAUCCCUUUCAGUGUCAGUCGCUUGGCCUUCUCCCCUACUGACGAGGUCCCAGCCUCCCGGUGAGAUCUCGCUGGAGAUAUUCUCAGUUUCCCUCAGGUACGGGGCUGCCCUGGCCCGAGGCCAGCGAAGAAGCUGACUUUGCCCGUGCCUGAAUCAGCAACACGUCCAGCAGGCGACUUGCAGAGCCCAGGGAACCCUCGUAAAGAGGUCUGGGGGUGGGCCGCGCCACAUCUGCGGCAUCGGCCGCGGGAAAGGACCGGCGCAGUAAAGCAGGCUGGACGGAGCCCAUAGAGGAAGGCACUACGCGUCUUGCUGGGUCUGUUUGCCUGCCUUCUCGUAAGCCGUCGCGGAAACUUGCACGAGCAAAGCCUGUGCAAGCUGAUGACAGCCACGCACGGUUGAAGAGGGAGCAGACGGUGAGAGCAGAGGGAAAAGCCCGCGCGUCUGCCACUACAGGACACGCUCUGGGAGGCAGGAGAGAUGACGACGCUCCCUGACAGAGGACACAGCUGAGGGGCGGUCCGCCGGGGCCGGGGAGAUGGCAGCACCUUCCCUCAGCUGCCCCAUCC
Molecule: non-coding RNA, 828 nt
Organism: Phalacrocorax carbo (great cormorant)
Lineage: Eukaryota; Metazoa; Chordata; Aves; Suliformes; Phalacrocoracidae
Source: RefSeq, a predicted model, not a curated record